GCGAAGUCAUCAUACAGGGGAUGGUCUUCAAAGUGGUCGAUGAAGUUCUGAACUGCUACCUCCCCUGCAGACUUCAACUCCUCCUUCAAAGAGGUAAUCUCCUCUGACUGAGCCUCUGCCUUCUGCCUCAGCUCUGCCUUCUCUUUGUUUAAGGUCUCCAGAGCCUCGGUGGCGAGCUUGUGGUGCAUGUUGGCGUGAUCGAGUCACCGAGUCAC
Molecule: long non-coding RNA, 215 nt
Filed under: Olea europaea (common olive)
Lineage: Eukaryota; Viridiplantae; Streptophyta; Magnoliopsida; Lamiales; Oleaceae
Description: long non-coding RNA (OEUR_LNC001138)
Source: RNAcentral